AGANUUUGUUUCUGGCUCAGAGCGAACGCUGGCGGCGUGCUUAACACAUGCAAGUCGAGCGAGAAAAGGAACUUCGGUUCCUGAGUACAGCGGCGAACGGGUGAGUAAGACGUGGGUNAUCUACCCCUAGGGUGGGAAUAACCCGGGGAAACCCGGGCUAAUACCGAAUAAGACCACAGGAGGCAACUCCAGGGGUCAAAGGGAGCUUCGGCCCCCCCCAAGGGAUGAGCCCGCGGCCUAUCAGCUUGUUGGUGGGGUAAAAGCCCACCAAGGCGAAGACGGGUAGCUGGUCUGAGAGGAUGACCAGUCACACGGGGACUGAGACACGGCCCCGACUCCUACGGGAGNCAGCAGUGGGGAAUAUUGGACAAUGGGGGAAACCCUGAUCCAGCGACNCCGCGUGGGUGAUGAAGGCCUUCGGGUCGUAAANCCCUGUCAGGAGGAAAGAACGCUCCUAUAGUGAAUCC
RNAcentral lists this ribosomal RNA (467 nucleotides) under uncultured bacterium. Its description in RNAcentral is "bacterial SSU rRNA". It matches the Rfam family "Bacterial small subunit ribosomal RNA", at positions 8 to 463 of the family's 1533-position model. The record is from RNAcentral.